Molecule: long non-coding RNA, 386 nt
Filed under: Homo sapiens (human)
Lineage: Eukaryota; Metazoa; Chordata; Mammalia; Primates; Hominidae
Description: non-protein coding lnc-VMO1-2:2
Source: RNAcentral
CGAGAGCCCCGGGCAGGGGGCCGCCCUGUGCCCUGCAGGGCCGCGGGGCCGCGUAGCUCUCUCGGUGCGGCGGGCCUGAGUCCUGCUGCCCCUCCAGAUCCCAGUCCAGCUAUAGCCCCCACCAUGGCUGAGGGAGGGGUACCCUCGCCAGGGCCUGGUGCCUACUUCAGCAGGAAAGCCCGACUCUCCUUCCGCCACCAGCUGCAUGACAUAGCAUCGGCCAAUGACUCCACCAUUUGAAGGGGACGACGAGGAGGUGAACCUCCAGGAAGGCUUAGCAAGCUUCCUUCCCCAGAUUUCUCAGCGAUCCUAAUGUCCACCUCCCCAAGUCCUUUCUAACCUUCUCAUCAAAUGUGUUCAUAGUUGCUAAGUGCUGUGUGUGUGUG